Molecule: long non-coding RNA, 1944 nt
Organism: Mus spicilegus (steppe mouse)
Lineage: Eukaryota; Metazoa; Chordata; Mammalia; Rodentia; Muridae
Source: Ensembl
CUGAUUUCCCCAACACUGAUACAUGAAGGAGAGACAGUGAGAACACCCACAAAGACUGAGAAGCUCAGCCACCAGUGGGAAAGAUGGCCUUAAUUCCCACACCAGUGUGUCAUGGUGUGUUUACCACACUAACCAGGCUGGCUGGAUAAGACAGAGCCUGGCUCUGGUGGGAUCAAGCGCUCUACGGAUGGAAAGGGAUUAGGGCCACAAGCAGCCAUGAGGUUGACAUCCACAAACAGACAUCCAGCUGAUCCCUGCCAUCCUGGGCACCUGAGGCAGUGCUGACCUGAGGAGACACUGGGCAGCCAUUCAGAGUAUGACUGGAGGCUCCAGCCUCUGCAGGAAGUGCUGAUCUGGGCUCUGGUGCGGUCUAUUGCCUGCUAAAAAUACACCUCUCCUCCGUCCACAGGUGCAGCCAUCAGGGGACCGGGCUGUUUUUAGCACUGAGGCAGGAGACAACUGACUUCUAGAUUCACAACCUGUCUGGCUGCUGGGAACGUGCUUCUAGGAGGACCACUCAUGGACAACAAACCAAUCAGAGGAGACACCAUAGCCUAUAGUUGAAAGCAGCCCUUGCCAGAUGUCCCAAGAUGCCCAGAGGAAGAGACGUUGGCCACUCAGACAGGAGGAGCUAUGACAGCAGCCCUGGGGAGGGUGUGAGGCAAAUCCACCUGAGAAAGGCAAGGAAACAGGAGCCAGGAAGUUUGAGCUCCACCCUGGAGAAGCAAGUCACAGCCAAGCCUGCAUGCCUUAUUAAAGCCACCUGUGCCCCCAGAACGUGGGGCCUCAGCCAGAGCCCCCAGCCUGCAGCCGUGUCCCUACGGUUAGUGUUUCUUCUUUACACGCCAAUUUGUUUGAGACAUGUUAAAAGGUUGUCUUUUAUAACCCUCAUAAAAUACCAUCGACUUCGCCCAGAUGCAGCCAAAAAAGCUGAGACCGUCUGACUCAUUUCAACCUGUGGGCCAGGAUGCAGAAAGAGCCACAGGAGUUCCCGCCAUUGUCAGAGAGCCAAGGACAUAACAAUGCAAAGGACCCCAUAGGGUAAGUAGCACCCACGAUGUCCUGCGUAGUGAGCCACCAAGGCACUGCCACAGAGAAAAAGCAAGGCAUGGGGGUGUCAGGACAAAGGUUCUCAAGGUUAAACCAACAAUGGGGGUGUUAGCUUGAGAGUCUGGAGUUCAGACGGCUCAUGGUUGUAUACCCAGCUCGGCUAUUUGCAGAGACGGAUAUUAAUCAGGGGCACAGGGGUCAUAGAAGAAAGGCUGGCCUGGACCACGUGUCUAGAAGGCAGGGGCUGGAGACUCAGGUCCUGGGGACCCUGUGUAGCCCACCCAGGCCAGAGUUGAACUGUGGAAGAGACAGUGACUCCCCAGGCUGGGGGAGUCUGACCCUGAAGUCCCUCACAUCUUUAGAUCGACACAGAAGUUCUUGAGUGGGGCCAGCCGUUUUCAUCUUCCUGGAAGGAGCCCAGGCAACAGGCUGAGGCCCAGACCAGCAGGGUUAGGUGUGCACUAGGAGUUAGGGGGAAGCCAAUUGUCUUAACUGAUGAAUGGUUCCCUGAAUCACACACCCAUGUACACACACACACACUUGUCCCUAAGCUCUGUCCCCUCCUCUGUAAAGAAGAAAAGUGGUCAGGUGCUGGCAUUGCCACCACUUUCCAUUUCCAUUACAACAAAGAAACAUAAGAGAAAUCACAUGAUACCACCCUCCUCCAGCGCUCAGUCCCUACUGGGAGACUGAGAACUGCCCUCUUUCCUGGAAUUUCUGGUGGGCACGCCCAUCUGCAGAGAGUCAAGUCUGAAGUGCAAGGGUGUGGUCCUACUGUUUUCUGAUGUAAAUCCCCAACUUCUAGAGCAUUCUCUAGAACCUCAGAGCAAACAGGGCACAGAUUCCAUUCUGCAUCCUUCCUGCCCAGACCGCCAUAGGACACUGCAGACCUGC